This 497-nucleotide ribosomal RNA is filed under the name uncultured bacterium. Its description in RNAcentral is "partial 16S ribosomal RNA". It matches the Rfam family "Bacterial small subunit ribosomal RNA", at positions 28 to 507 of the family's 1533-position model. The record is from RNAcentral.
GAUGAACGCUGGCGGCGUGCUUAAUACAUGCAAGUCGAGCGAACAGAUGGGGAGCUUGCUCCUCUGACGUUAGCGGCGGACGGGUGAGUCACACGUGUAUAACCUACCUAUCAUUCUGGUAUAACUUCGGGAAACCGGAUCUAAUACCGGAUAAUCUCUUGAACCGCAUGGUUCAAUAGUUAAAGACGGCUUUUCUGUCACUCAUCUAUGGUUCCACGCCGCUUUAGCAAGUUGUGAAGGUAACGGCUUACCAAGGCAACAAUGCGUCUCCGAACUGAGUGGGUGAUAGGCCACCCGGGAACUGAGACAAGGUCAAGACUCCUACGGAAGGCAGAAGUAGGGAAUUGUACGCAACAGGCGAAAGCAUGACGGAACAACGCCGAGUGAGUGAUGAAAGUAUUCGGAUCGUAAUACUGUGUUAUUAGGGAAGAACAAAUGUGUAAGUAAAUAUGCACGUAUUGACGGUACCGAAUCAGAAAGCCACGGCUAACUACGUG